Small nucleolar RNA from Procavia capensis (Cape rock hyrax), 84 nucleotides. The record is from Ensembl. Lineage: Eukaryota; Metazoa; Chordata; Mammalia; Hyracoidea; Procaviidae.
CCGAUACAGUGAUGAUAACAUAGUUCAGCAGACUUAACAGUGGUGAACAACACUUGUGUCUUUCGCUCCUAUCUGAUGUAUCUG